Molecule: long non-coding RNA, 394 nt
Filed under: Oryza sativa Indica Group (long-grained rice)
Lineage: Eukaryota; Viridiplantae; Streptophyta; Magnoliopsida; Poales; Poaceae
Description: lncRNA OsMH63_08G024210
Source: RNAcentral
AUGAGGCAGGCAGUCGGUAGAGAUCGAGGGCAAGAAAAAGAGAUAAUCAGAGAGGCCCAUAAUAACAAGCUGGCCACUGAAAGUCUGAUGGAUGAACAGGGCCUGCUGCAAUUGCGAUUGCAUGCAUCAUGUAUGGUGCAUGAUGCAACAGGGGCGAUCCUGCAGGCAAGCUCGAUCAGCAUGAUUCGUAACAAGAUUGAUCAGUACACGAAUGAUGAUGAUGCAGGCAAUGCUAGGAGCUAUCUAGUCUGCAUGUUUGUUUGUUCAGUUCUUGGGCUCAAGAAGAGAAAAUGUGCAGAGAUGAUGCAUGGCUACAGUUGGGAGGUACUCCCUCCGUUUCCUAUUAAAAGUCAUUUGAUUUUUUUCUUAGUUAAAGUUCUUUAGGUUUGAUCGA